GAAAUGUUGUGGGCCCCCAGGAGAACAAUUACCUGGAGAGAAGCCUGCCUGAUAAUGGACUGAGAUUCACUCCAGUAGUUUCUCUCUCCCCGCACAGGUCAGUGAUUUGCGGGGCCUUUGCCCAUCGCCAGGGCAUAGAGACAGGCUAGAGGCUACAGAGGAGCACAAAGCGUCCCUCUGCUCCAAUCACCCACAAACUGAGUAUUACUGUCCAGUACAGGAAGUAUUACUGUCCAGUACAUGAAUUUCUCCAUCCACGACUGCAAGGCCCUUGGUGCUCCCAGCCAUCUAGGACAUCUACUCUAAACAGUGCCUGAGGAAGGCACGCAGCAUCAUCAAGGACCCCACACACCCCAGCCACGAGCUGUUUACUCCCUUACCGUCGGGCAGACGUUAUUGGAGCAUGAGGUCUGAUACCAACAGGCUCAGAGACAGUUUCUAUCUACAAGCCAUCAGACUGCUGAACACUUGAACUGGAAUGACCACCUGCACUGAUUCUCCGCACCUUAGCACACAUGCACUCACAAGCACGCACACACACAAACACACAUGCAUUCACGCUACACACACACACACACACACACACAUCGCAACUGCUGCUACCAGACUCUUGUGAUUGCCAAAUACUGC
RNAcentral lists this long non-coding RNA (630 nucleotides) under Salmo salar (Atlantic salmon). RNAcentral describes it as "lncRNA (ENSSSAG00000106466.1)". Lineage: Eukaryota; Metazoa; Chordata; Actinopteri; Salmoniformes; Salmonidae. The record is from RNAcentral.